RNAcentral lists this ribosomal RNA (759 nucleotides) under uncultured bacterium. RNAcentral describes it as "bacterial SSU rRNA". It matches the Rfam family "Bacterial small subunit ribosomal RNA", at positions 90 to 865 of the family's 1533-position model. The record is from RNAcentral.
AUAAAGUGGCGAACGGGCGAGUAAUGCGUUUCUAACGUGCCUCAGGGCUGGGGAUAGCUCGGAGAAAUCCGGGGUAAUACCCAAUAACCCCGCCGGACCGCAUGAUCCGGUGGGCAAAGGCUUGCCACCCUGAGAUCGGGGAACGUGCUAUCAGGUUGUUGGUGAGGUAACGGCUCACCAAGCCUCAGACGGCUAGCGGGUGUGAGAGCAUGACCCGCCGCAUCGGGACUGAGACACUGCCCGGACUCCUACGGGAGGCUGCAGUAACGAAUCUUCCGCAAUGCGCGAAAGCGUGACGGAGCAAUGCCGCGUGCGGGAUGAAGGCCCUCGGGUUGUAAACCGCUGUCAGGGUGCAGGAACACAAUGACCAUACCCAAAGGAAGCACCGGCUAACUCCGUGCCAGCAGCCGCGGUAAUACGGAGGGUGCGAGCGUUGUUCGGAAUCAUUGGGCGUAAAGCGCGUGUAGGCGGCUUGGUAAGUCGGGUGUGAAAGCCCGGGGCCCAACCCCGGAAUUGCACUCGAAACUGCCUCGCUAGAGUCCCGGAGAGGAGAGCGGAAUUCCCGGUGUAGAGGUGAAAUUCGUAGAUAUCGGGAGGAACACCAGCGGCGAAGGCGGCUCUCUGGACGGUGACUGACGCUGAGACGCGAAAGCGUGGGGAGCAAACAGGAUUAGAUACCCUGGUAGUCCACGCCGUAAACGUUGGGUGCUAGGUGUCGCGGGUAUUGACCCCUGCGGUGCCGCAGCUAACGCAUUAAGC